RNAcentral lists this long non-coding RNA (3592 nucleotides) under Salmo salar (Atlantic salmon). Its description in RNAcentral is "lncRNA (ENSSSAG00000082022.1)". Lineage: Eukaryota; Metazoa; Chordata; Actinopteri; Salmoniformes; Salmonidae. The record is from RNAcentral.
CAGGCCUACUUGAUGAAGAAAUCAGAGACGCGCGUUGUCAUGGCAUUCGGCAUUUAUGACGUAAUGAUAAAGUAGACAGCAAUGUUCUAUAUCAAUUUAGCGCCAUUCGCGACACCAUCUUUGUCGCUUUCUCCCAAAUUCCCAUUUCUGAUCGGGUUCUAUCAUCUGAGUCGUCUGCGGUCCAAAAUUAUUAUUUUACGUGCGAGUGUUAUAUAAGAUCAGUUAUUUUGGACUACAUCAAAUCUACCAUCAAGGGAAAGUAUGGAGACUCCGGAAAGUGACCAGUUCAAUUCUACUCAGGAAAUGCAGUGUCCAUCAAUUGUGGGCAGGCGAAGUGUGGAGAUGAAAAGUGUCGCGGAGGAGUUCUUCUGUCUCACUGAUGAGACGGACCAAGGGAGGAUGAGUGUGUCAACACGUGGAGCCAGUAUGAGGAGCAGCCACACUCCUGGACACGGCAAACGGAGUGAAUCUGUGCUGCGCAGGUGAGUACUUCCCGUGUAUUGGCGUGCUAGUUAAGUAUAGGUAGCAGCGUCCCGGACUGGUCUCGGAGUAGUAGGCGUGUCGAAAGAAAUGGGGAAAAAUACAUUUUGAUUGGACAGGGUUUUUGCCAGUGCCACGGUUUAGAGUAGCCUAUUUUGUUCAGUCGCUUUCCGGAAGUGCAUGGAGGAUGCUAAAGCAUUUUUAAUCACAUACAACUCAAACUUUUAUGAAAGCAAACUUGGCAAAUUGUUACCGUUGUACUAAGUGCCAUGAACAGUAUUGUUCAGUCUCAAUAAUGUCCACAUACACACCUAACUUGUAUUAAAGCAAUCGUGACGAAACAUGAAGAUCUGCCUUCAUGGUAACCUAAUUGUAACCCCCUGAUUUUGUAACGCGCUAGUAUAAGACGGGUAUCAAUGUAGGCAAUUUUCCCUGGAAGCUCACUUAGUAAAUUGGUCGUCAACGGCUUGUCAGCAAACUUGCAGGCAGGCACGCAACCCAUGUCUGCCCCUGUGUUUAGAAAUGGGGCAUCGACAAGUUUAAUAAUGACAUUGCGUACACUAGCCUAUACAAUUGCAAUGAAAUGGGAUACAUGUAAAAUGUUCACAACAUGACAGCAUGUUAAGAUACGUGCAUUUACAUGCAAUGCUUUUCCACUGCCUGAGUUAUUUAACGACACCACCAUUCUGAGUUUCCGAAACGUCCUCAAAUUAAUUUCGAUGCGCAUUCAUACACAGUCAUGUUUCCACAAAUCUCUGCACUCGCUGACAGAAAGUCAGACCAAUACAUGUGCGCUUUCGACACACCCAGUCUCUGGCCGCCAUAUUGGGCUGCAGCUAUCCCCUUCUCAUGCUAGUAUUUACAGUAAUUGGCCAACAUAGGUCAUGUACUGGUGCUUUCAAGACAACUGGGAACUCGGGAGAAACGAUGUCAUAUCAUGACGUCAGUGAUCUUCAGGUCAGGAAGUCAGAGCUCGAGAAAGCUACCCGAGUUCCCUUGGAUUGUUCAAAACUAUUUUUGUCUUGAACGCUCGGGAAGUUGGAGAAUUCCGAGUUCCCAGUUGUUUUGAACGCGGCAUUACGAAUCAAGAGACUUCUUUCAGGACUGUGACCUUGGAUUAUAAUGAUGGUGAUGACUGUGAUGAUACAGAGGGAAUCGCUGAACAUGCAACAAAACCAGAAGUCACAGAAGAAUGGAUGUCAGUCAUGGGGGCAAAACUCCCAGAGUUACCAGUUCAUAAAAAUAUCUCAAGAACGAAAUGUGAGUCACCAAAAGAAUAUAUCGAGCUCCAAAGUGAUAAAGGGAUGAGUGUACCAGAAACGCAGACAAGGAUGAAAGAUCAGGCCAAGAUACUGUUACCACUAAAGCCUUUCAGUGAGGGAUAUGAGGCUGCAUUCCUCAGGGACAGAAUGCGAAGGCUCUGCAGAAGAUCAGGACCUCCUUUCUUGCUGUUCUCCCCUACGGAAAGCCUGGGGGACAUACUGUACAGGAAAACCAAGCAUGUGUUUGACUACACAGUCACGGACAUGAAAGACAAAAAGCCCGAUGUUUCAAGGUGUGGUUCCAAUCUAAACCAGUGUGUUAAACCAGCCCUUCCAGUACGGAAGGGCUUCAAUGUAUCCACAUCUAGGUACAGCCAGAGAAGGGUACAAUCAAUUGAUCAGAUGACGGUGAUCAGAAAAGAUCAUGUCGGUAGGCCUUUACUGAUGCUGAAAGGCAAUGCAAGUCUAACCAACAGUGAUGGAAGCAACAACACGGAUUCAUUUGCUUAUUCAUCCAGACUCACAAAGGGAAAACCAUCAACCUCCUCUCAGCCAGGACCUGUCAUCAGGAUCCCACCAGUAUUAACCAGGAAGCAUUCUGACAUCAUCAGAGAGGAAAGAAAGAGGCACUACUACAAAGACCUGUGUCAGCAGGUGGAGGAGAAGAGACAACAAAAAGCAAGGGAGAGGAGAAGGAUUACCGCCGCCGAACAAACUAAUAAUUAUACACAAGAAUGGUCACUGAUAGUGAUUGACUCAAUUGGAAGGACGGACAUUGACAGAUUGCACUUCAAUCGCCUUGUCAUUGGCAGCACAAUGAGACAAUGCAGUUCUGCACCUGGGGGAUGCCAGGGAGCGGAGCCCCAAACUACCACCUGGACUCUGUGAGAAGGAACAAGUUCAGUUCCACAGAAAUGAUACCCCAGGAACAGCUCCGCUGUAAAGGCUUCAGCGGGAUCCCUUUUCAUCUGCAUGUCAAAUGACGGCCAUUUUAUGGUCCCCCAGCCCAGACGAUUGAUGCUCAGCUCAGACAACUGAUAAACCCAUUAAACUAACGCAGUAGUAGACCAAACACUGCGCUCUGCUGACUUCUGUCCCAUAGGUGGUAGAUAAGUCAUCGAUUAGCUGGAUUUCAGCACUCCUUGGCACUUGUAUCUAUUGAUUAAUUUACUGUUUCAAACUACCAUGCGGGCAUAACCACACUCAAAACAAUUCUGGAACUAAGGUUUUACACAUUCUGAUGGUGUUCAAAUCAGUUGUAAUGGUAGCGAUGCACAUAAACAGUAAGAUAUAUAUAUAUAUAUAUAUAUCAUACACACACAUAAAUGCUACAGUGGUAAUUGACAGAUCGAUAGCAUGGUGAGAUAAUGAAUAGAAACAGUAGCUCACUAAAGAUAAGACUGUACACAAAAAAAAGCUCCUAACUGGUCGCGAAAGUGAUAAGAUACUGUCUGCCUACAGUCAAAGAAUUCUUCUUUUUUUUUUCAUCAUAUUUUAACCAUUUUAUAUGAGUAAUUUUGUAUGUAUAUUGAAGCCAGAGUUGUAGUGAAAUAAAACUCUCCUGUCAGAUUAAGAGACUGGGUGAAAAAAAUUGAUAAAGUCUCAAUGUCAUUGCUUUGUAGGUGAAGUGAUGUGGAAAUCUAUCCUCUGAUACUGACCUGAUAUUUGGGUUGAAUGAUUCACUAAGAAACAAUGGGUAGUGUAACUAUAGUAUUUACAAAAAGCUUUUCAACAUGAGGACCGAUGCACAAACAAGCACUGAUACAGUAAGCCGCUCUUCAGGUGGCCACUAACAUUUGUAUAUACAAUGUACCACAAUGAUGACAUAACAUGCGACUAUAGGUAUUUUC